This 253-nucleotide ribosomal RNA is filed under the name uncultured bacterium. Its description in RNAcentral is "partial 16S ribosomal RNA". It matches the Rfam family "Bacterial small subunit ribosomal RNA", at positions 524 to 776 of the family's 1533-position model. The record is from RNAcentral.
UACGUAGGUGGCAAGCGUUGUCCGGAAUUAUUGGGCGUAAAGCGCGCGCAGGCGGUUCCUUAAGUCUGAUGUGAAAGCCCCCGGCUCAACCGGGGAGGGUCAUUGGAAACUGGGGAACUUGAGUACAGAAGAGGAAAGCGGAAUUCCACGUGUAGCGGUGAAAUGCGUAGAGAUGUGGAGGAACACCAGUGGCGAAGGCGGCUUUCUGGUCUGUAACUGACGCUGAGGCGCGAAAGCGUGGGGAGCAAACAGG